RNAcentral lists this ribosomal RNA (315 nucleotides) under uncultured Agaricomycetes. RNAcentral describes it as "partial large subunit ribosomal RNA". It matches the Rfam family "Eukaryotic large subunit ribosomal RNA", at positions 40 to 350 of the family's 3401-position model. The record is from RNAcentral. Lineage: Eukaryota; Fungi; Basidiomycota; Agaricomycetes.
AUAUCAAUAAGCGGAGGAAAAGAAACUAACAAGGAUUCCCCUAGUAACGGCGAGUGAAGAGGGAAAAGCUCAAAUUUUGAAUCUGACGUCUUUGGCGUCCGAGUUGUAAUCUAGAGAAGUGUUUUCCGUACCGGACCGUGCACAAGUUCCCUGGAACGGGGCGUCAUAGAGGGUGAGAAUCCCGUAUAUGGCACGGACUACCGGCACUCUGUGAUACACUCUCAACGAGUCGAGUUGUUUGGGAAUGCAGCUCAAAAUGGGUGGUAAAUUCCAUCUAAAGCUAAAUACAGGCGAGAGACCGAUAGCGCACAAGUA